GAUGAAGAACGCAGCGAAAUGCGAUACUUGGUGUGAAUUGCAGAAUCCCGUGAACCAUCGAGUCUUUGAACGCAAGUUGCGCCUCAAGCCAUUAGGUUGAGGGCACGUCUGCCUGGGCGUCACAUAUCGUUGCCUGAUGCCAGUUUCCUCGUGAUGGGUGACUGUGCAGGGCGAAUGAUGGCUUCCCGUGAGCAUUGUUGCCUCAUGGUUGGUUGAAAAUUGAGUCCUUGGUAGGGAGCGCCGUGAUAGAUGGUGGUUGAGUGACGAACGAGACCCAAUCAUGUGAGACCCCUACCGAAUUUGGCCUUCAUGACCCACAUGCGUCUUUAGAACGCUCAUGACGAGACCUCAGGUCAGGCGGGGCUACCCGCUGAGUUUAAGCAUAUCAAUAAGCGGAGGA
This 400-nucleotide unclassified non-coding RNA is filed under the name soil metagenome. RNAcentral describes it as "partial contains 5.8S ribosomal RNA, internal transcribed spacer 2, and large subunit ribosomal RNA". The stretch from base 1 to 122 matches the Rfam family "5.8S ribosomal RNA", at positions 35 to 154 of the family's 154-position model. The record is from RNAcentral.